GCUCCCAGCAGCCACAGCGACACAGACCCCGCCCUGUCAUCCAGAGACUCAUCCCGACUGCACAUCGUAUGGAGACCCCUUAUAUACAGAUCCAUCUCUACAAGUCCCGGAAUGUCUGAUUGUCACCAACACUAGAGCGGAUAUUACAGGACAAGAGCGGGAAAAGGUAUCUUCCGGACCAUGUGAUUUCCUACAUGAAAAAUGAUUGCCGACUGAUGACGCUGAAGAACCAGGGAGGAUACAUUUCUUUUCAAGUUCCCCAUUGUGAGAAACCACCAUGUAGGAGGAGAUGGGGCACUUUUCCUAUCCAGGGCUUCGAUACGCUCAGAUGAUAUGACUGGAAGAGGAAAUAAUGCAGAGUGUAAGUCAGGCUGCUCCUCUGCAUCUCUUGUGGAAGACAGGGUCCAGUCUCCCCAAUGGACGUCUUGUGAUAUACGUAGCGGAGCGAAGCCAUGACACACCGAGCCCUGCAGCUGUAUGAUCUAUGGGACCGCCAUGGGUACCAGGUACGCCCCAAGCUUUGGCAAUCUUUAUAUGAGGCACCUCACGGAUGAGCAUGUCUGUGGUGGCCCUUUCGGGUGGACCUGGUGUUCUAUGGCAGAUAGACAAUCCUCGGAUUACUGUCAGAUGAGCCAAAGUUCAGUAUUCCCGUUUGAGAACCACUGCGAUGCUUUGCAACCGAGAAGUACUGACAAUGAAAUGUUCCAGGCCUCGC
Long non-coding RNA from Pseudophryne corroboree (corroboree frog), 715 nucleotides. RefSeq lists it as uncharacterized. The transcript is spliced from 7 exons. NCBI's taxonomy places the organism in Eukaryota, Metazoa, Chordata, Amphibia, Anura, Myobatrachidae. The record is from RefSeq and is a predicted model, not a curated record.